This 253-nucleotide ribosomal RNA is filed under the name uncultured bacterium. Its description in RNAcentral is "partial 16S ribosomal RNA". It matches the Rfam family "Bacterial small subunit ribosomal RNA", at positions 524 to 776 of the family's 1533-position model. The record is from RNAcentral.
UCCGUAGGGGGCAAUCGUUACUCGGAAUCACUGGGCGUAAAGAGCUCGUAGGUGGGUAGAUAAGUCAUACAGUAAAGCCAACAGCUCAACUGUUGUUCUCUGUAUGAUACUGUUUGCCUUGAGGACAGGAGAGGGGAGUGGAAUUCCUGGUGUAGCGGUGAAAUGCGUAGAUAUCAGGAAGAACACCGGUGGCGAAGGCGUCUCCCUGGUCUGUUCCUGACACUGAGGAGCAAAAGCUGGGGGAGAGAACGGG